AUACGGAGGGUGCAAGCGUUAUCCGGAAUCAUUGGGUUUAAAGGGUCCGCAGGCGGACUAAUAAGUCAGUGGUGAAAUCCUCUCGCUUAACGAGAGAACUGCCAUUGAAACUGUUAGUCUUGAAUUCGGUCGAAGUAGGCGGAAUGUGUCAUGUAGCGGUGAAAUGCAUAGAUAUGACACAGAACACCGAUAGCGAAGGCAGCUUACUAGACCUGGAUUGACGCUCAUGGACGAAAGCGUGGGGAGCGAACAGGAUUAGAUACCCUGGUAGUCC
RNAcentral lists this ribosomal RNA (274 nucleotides) under uncultured bacterium. RNAcentral describes it as "partial 16S ribosomal RNA". It matches the Rfam family "Bacterial small subunit ribosomal RNA", at positions 523 to 796 of the family's 1533-position model. The record is from RNAcentral.